GACGAACGCUGGCGGCGUGCCUAAUACAUGCAAGUUGAGCGCUGAAGGUUGGUACUUGUACCAACUGGAUGAGCAGCGAACGGGUGAGUAACGCGUGGGGAAUCUGCCUUUGAGCGGGGGACAACAUUUGGAAACGAAUGCUAAUACCGCAUAAAAACUUUAAACACAAGUUUUAAGUUUGAAAGAUGCAAUUGCAUCACUCAAAGAUGAUCCCGCGUUGUAUUAGCUAGUUGGUGAGGUAAAGGCUCACCAAGGCGAUGAUACAUAGCCGACCUGAGAGGGUGAUCGGCCACAUUGGGACUGAGACACGGCCCAAACUCCUACGGGAGGCAGCAGUAGGGAAUCUUCGGCAAUGGACGAAAGUCUGACCGAGCAACGCCGCGUGAGUGAAGAAGGUUUUCGGAUCGUAAAACUCUGUUGGUAGAGAAGAACGUUGGUGAGAGUGGAAAGCUCAUCAAGUGACGGUAACUACCCAGAAAGGGACGGCUAACUACGU
This 496-nucleotide ribosomal RNA is filed under the name uncultured bacterium. Its description in RNAcentral is "partial 16S ribosomal RNA". It matches the Rfam family "Bacterial small subunit ribosomal RNA", at positions 28 to 506 of the family's 1533-position model. The record is from RNAcentral.